ACCCUCCGGGGGGGGGGGACACCCGCACCUACCGAGGGGAGGAGGGGGAGAAAGGUGCGCAUUAAUACCCAACCCCCCCCCCCGCCUUCCUCCUCCUCCUCCUCCUCUUUUCCCAGCCUCUUCACUGCUGGCAGCAAAUACAUGCGCUGGGAGGUCAGCCUAGGUAACCUCAACAGCAGCCACUGGAAACCCACGGCUGAAAAUCGCAGGCAAAGCGUCCUUCCAAGGGGGAUAAAGUAGACGAUGGCUUCAAGAGAGCUACUUUGGAAGAAAGAGAGGAAAAGUGAGGCAGAAAGUAUGUACUCCCUUUUGUGCGGGUAGCAUGCGGCUUUGCCUGUAAAAAAUAGCCAUCGACAUUUUUUUCGCCAUUAAGCACAGUUAUUCCCAUUUUUUUAAAUCCGCUACGCGAUAUCAGCGCGCCCCUUCCCUCUCGCAGACUUUUUGUACCUUAUGUGACCGCUCACUGAAACCCUUCACUUCGGACACUUCAUUUUACGACUGCAUUAAGGAACUCAGCUCAUUAAAACAUAGCAUAAAAUCA
Long non-coding RNA from Dromaius novaehollandiae (emu), 541 nucleotides. RefSeq lists it as uncharacterized. The record is from RefSeq and is a predicted model, not a curated record. The transcript has 2 exons. Lineage: Eukaryota; Metazoa; Chordata; Aves; Casuariiformes; Dromaiidae.